This 245-nucleotide long non-coding RNA is filed under the name Linum usitatissimum (flax). RNAcentral's name for it is "long non-coding RNA (LUSI_LNC006846)". Lineage: Eukaryota; Viridiplantae; Streptophyta; Magnoliopsida; Malpighiales; Linaceae. The record is from RNAcentral.
ACUUUUCCAUACCUAGCUAGAGAACAAGCUAGCUUUUUAUUAGAGUAAUAAAGAAGAUUUCAAGAUUGGCGGCAAAAGCACCAACAAAAACCCAUCGAUGCGUUCUGAUAAUACUAUCAUCUAUAUCAAAACUAGAGUGUUGACGAAAGGACCCACCAAUGUUAAAUGAAAACCAACCCUCAUUCCUAACCAUCAUCCAAUAAAAUGGAACUGCCAAGGUAAACCCGAUGUUUUUAGGCCCAAUU